UGAACGCUGGCGGCAUGCCUAACACAUGCAAGUCGAACGAGACCUUCGGGUCUAGUGGCGCACGGGUGCGUAACGCGUGGGAAUCUACCCUUGGGUUCGGAAUAACUCAGAGAAAUUUGAGCUAAUACCGGAUGAUGACGUAAGUCCAAAGAUUUAUCGCCCAAGGAUGAGCCCGCGUAGGAUUAGCUUGUUGGUGAGGUAAAAGCUCACCAAGGCGACGAUCCUUAGCUGGUCUGAGAGGAUGAUCAGCCACACUGGGACUGAGACACGGCCCAGACUCCUACGGGAGGCAGCAGUGGGGAAUAUUGCACAAUGGGUGCAAGCCUGAUGCAGCAACGCCGCGUGAGUGAAGAAGGCCUUGGUCGUAAGCUCUGUCCUGUGGACGAACGAAACUGAACGGUACCACAGGAGGAACGCCCGGCUAACUACGUGCCAGCAGCCGCGGUAAUCUGAUG
This 455-nucleotide ribosomal RNA is filed under the name uncultured bacterium. Its description in RNAcentral is "bacterial SSU rRNA". It matches the Rfam family "Bacterial small subunit ribosomal RNA", at positions 30 to 530 of the family's 1533-position model. The record is from RNAcentral.